GCGGAUUUAGCUCAGUCGGGAGAGCGCCAGACUGAAGAGAAACUUCGGUCAUCGAAAUCUGGAGGUCCUGUGUUCGAUCCACAGAAUUCGCA
Molecule: transfer RNA, 92 nt
Filed under: Lachancea fermentati
Lineage: Eukaryota; Fungi; Ascomycota; Saccharomycetes; Saccharomycetales; Saccharomycetaceae
Rfam family: tRNA
About the family: Transfer RNA (tRNA) molecules are approximately 80 nucleotides in length. Their secondary structure includes four short double-helical elements and three loops (D, anti-codon, and T loops).
Source: Rfam by way of RNAcentral